RNAcentral lists this long non-coding RNA (477 nucleotides) under Equus asinus (donkey). RNAcentral's name for it is "lncRNA (ENSEASG00005037820.1)". The record is from RNAcentral. Lineage: Eukaryota; Metazoa; Chordata; Mammalia; Perissodactyla; Equidae.
GUCCCCGCUCCCUCUGCCUCCUGACUACUCUUGGGCUUCCCUGUGUGGCCCUGCGUGCCCCUCCUCAGGGAGCUGCCCUGCUCUCUGUGGGUGAAGGAAAAUCUCUGCCUGCUCACAUGCUGGGACCAUCCUGGGCCAUCUUGUGAGCAGGUGGAAAGACUCCACACACAAUGCCACCUGCCUUGCGAGCAGCAGCCAGUGGCCUCCUGGACAUCCUCAGGCUUCUGAGGACCCCCUGCGGAAGCUCCCUGAUACACAACCCUCCCUCUGGACCCUAGGAUGUCUGGCUUCCCAUGGAGCUCCAUUGGAUGUGGAGCUGGGUGAGCAGCCCACACCUGGGUCAGCACUCCCACGGGGACCACUCCGCACCACUCAUGAAAAGGAGACAUCGUCCCAGUGGACAGGCCCAACUCCUGCGUUACAGUCAGAAAACUCAGCUGCACGUGGAAGUGACCCUGAGGCCCCUUUGGGGUCCCA